AGUAAGCGUGUGCUCCCGGCUGCUCACUGGUCAAGCAGCUAGAACUACCCAGACACACCCAUUGUAGAUGCCAGGUUGGCGUUCUGAGCUUCCCAAACAUCUAAACCACGAGGGGGAGAACCCCGCUUGUGUCCCAGCCUCAUCUGCGGGCCGCUUGCCCUCCCUCUACCCUGAGUCAAUUCUAGUGAGCAUGGCUCCCUGGCUGCCUCCUCACACUGAGCGGAGCCAUCCCAGUUCAGGACCAUUUCUACUUGGAUCUCCACUCUCCCUCUGGACUCCAGAUGCCUCUGUAGCAGGAAAAGGCAUCCAUGGGUGGGAUAUAUAUAUUUAUGUGACUGCGGGCAUUUGUGGCUAUAGAGUCCUUGACCAUAAUGUUAUAUGUAAUGGGAACUAUCUUAUAAACUUGAAAAAAUAAAGUUUUUAUUUUCU
RNAcentral lists this long non-coding RNA (429 nucleotides) under Mus musculus (house mouse). RNAcentral describes it as "long non-coding RNA chr4:132724333-132724762". The record is from RNAcentral. Lineage: Eukaryota; Metazoa; Chordata; Mammalia; Rodentia; Muridae.